Parus major (Great Tit) is the source of this 8561-nucleotide long non-coding RNA. RefSeq lists it as uncharacterized. The transcript has 2 exons. The record is from RefSeq and is a predicted model, not a curated record. NCBI's taxonomy places the organism in Eukaryota, Metazoa, Chordata, Aves, Passeriformes, Paridae.
AUGUUUUUGUUAUUGCUGAGCAGGGCUUACACAGAGCCAAGGCCUUUCCUGCUUUUCACACCAGCCAUACUGGUGAAGGAAAUUGGGGGUGCCUGGAAGCAUAGGAGGGGACACUGCCAGGACAGGUGCACACAACUGACCAGAGGGAUAUAUAUUCCAGACCAUGUGACAGCAUGCUCAGUAUGGAAAGAAGUGGGAAGGCAGAAGAAGGGGACGUUUGGAGUUUUGGCAUGGCAUUAGGCAUGGUGGAACCUCACUCUCCUGGAGACAGCUGAACACCUGCCUGCCCAGGAGAAGCAGGCAAUUCCUUGUUUUGCUUUUCUUGUGUGCAUUGCUUUCCCUAUCAAACUGUUUUUAUCUGAACCCAUUCGUUUUCUUACUUGUAGCCUUCUGAUUUUCUCCCUGAUCCAUCUUGUAGGGGAGUGCAUUAGUGGCUGCCUGGGUUGAAACCACAACAAACACUUGCCUUUAAAAUAUGCGUACCUUCAAUUUCACUGAAUGCACUCCUAAUUUCAGUCUAAUUACUUCUUCCUCCAUCAUAUAAUCAAGCUAAUUUUGUGUUCUGAUUACAUCAAGUUACCAGAAAGGUUGUCAUCCCAAACAAAAAUAGCAAAAGUUUUCUCAGCACCCAGGCUACUAAAAAAAAAAAAACAACAACAAAACCUCAGUUUUUCAUGGUAAAAAGGCGUUAAAGCCCACUUUACACAAGGCUAACUUGUGUUCUCUAUCCUUGCUUUCCAGCAAUCCCUGUGGCAGGCAGUGAGGUGCCGUUCGGCUGUGCACCAGCAGGUGUCUCCCCGACACAGGCACUGCGAUUCCAAGGUCCAGGAUGCGCAGGGCAGAAGUGGCACAGACACCGUGCGCUGCAUUUCUGUAAGAGAUAGUAAGUUACCUCUAACAAACCAUCUGCGAGGACACAGAAGGAACCGGACAGCAGGGAAUGGAGCAAGGCCCUUCACAGCAUCCAGGAAGGGAAGGAGAUGGAGCCGGAGACUCACACAGGAGAAAAGCUAAAUGCAGAACAGAGACCCUCUCAGAGGCAGGGUUAGAUAUCAUAGGCUGAACGUAAAUGGCACUCCUGGGCUUGUGAGCAGAGCAUCCCAUGUGAGGCCAGUCAGGGAUGGUAAAUCCCAUUAGCACCUUCAGGGUUCUGACAUUAUUCUGUUACAGAUGAAUUGUGAUUUAUCAUAUGCUUUUUUGAGAAGCUCAGAGCACAUGACUAUUAUGUGUGUUAGCUUCAAUAAGAAUGAAAGAGGUGAAACUUUAGUACUUAAAAUUUGCGACAUGCUAAAGGUAUGCUUAGAUCAUGUCUAAAGUUAAAUCUAGUGAUUUUUUUAUUUAAUUGGACUUGGGACUGAACCCUCAGCUAGGCUGCAAGUGCUAGAUAUUAAAAGACACUGGAGCUUUUUGGAAUAAACAGAUUAUUUGAAAAUUCCAUAGGGGUGUAUUAAAAGAGUGCAAUGUUUAGCCAUUUUAAAAGUUAGUCUGGCCACUCUAUGCAUGCAUUGGACUGGUUCAGUAAAGCUUUAAGUUUAUGCAAACAAAGAGAUAGCACAAAGCAAAUAUAAAAUGCCUAAGCACCCAAUAUCCUUUAGAAGUUAGCUUGAUAGACGGUUUUGAAAUACUUAACCAGCAACCUCUCUGAAUCUCUCAAGAUCUAAAUAUCACUAAGAUAGACCAGAAGUGCAGAGGUUACUUUGGAAUAUAGACUUCUUUUCUUCAGAUAUUUCUAUCCCUUUCUAUCUUUAAAUGCCAGAUGAUUUUCAAUAAGUGUUGGCAGAAAGGAAAUAUUUCACUGUUCUAAACAUUAAGAAGCUUCCUGGAAACUUGUCAAAGAACCCUCACAAGUGUUGGUUUUUUUGGUUCGUUUUUUUUUUUUUUACCUCACACUAGUGCAGUUGCAAGCCUCAGAUUAAGCUUAUAAACUAUAAUUGUAUAUUACUUCUCUAUAGUUGCCAACGUUCAAGGCCAAAAGAAGCAGAGAAGAUACUUCUUUUUGUGUUUUAUUUAUGGGAGGUUUUUUUGAUCCCAUCUUUUCUGUUUGCUUUUUUUCCAGUCCAAAUCUCUUGACUGGGUUGAAUACAUGAUCCAAAUAACAGCUUAUUUAUCAUGCUGUUUGGUGAUGGAUGCAUGGUGAUUGCCUGCCAUUCUUUUCUGACUGUAAAACUGAAUUAGAUUCUACACCGUGCAAAUGUACACAAUGCACAUUGUAAUGACAGCUGGUGGAGAGCUGCUGUACUCAAUUCUGGGUCUUUUUCCAGUCACAACUUCUGUUUCUUGUUUUCCAUGUGCAGUUCUCUUCUACCCCUCCUCCCAACCAGCAUCUUAAAGAAAAUGUAAAAUGUACCAGGCAAGGGCACCAGCUGGUCCUAUUUUCUGUCCACAGAUAUUCAUAGUCUCUGAUUGGAGUCAUGGUUUCCUAAAAGCCACACUUACACAGGAGAAGGAAAUAAACUCACUGUACUUUUUUCACCACAAAAUGUUAACCAGAUUAGAAAAUAGGCUCAUGUAGUUCCUGUGCCAAAGGUGGUCCUUCUUAAAAUAAUAAAAUGUCAGAUUCUUCAAAAUAUUAGUGUAUACAUGUGCAAAUACAGUAUAAGCAUGUAGCAGCAUGACUUUGGUAGCUUUUCCACAUAACUGUAUUUUCUUGGAAGGAAUGGCUUGCUGCUAUUUGUAACUAAACAGGUUUAAACUUAGAAGCACUGUCAUUAUUGGUUUUAAACACCAAAGGUAUUCGUAAUCAUUAUGGAUGUUUGUUGUACAGUAAGGAACUACAAGACUUACAGUCCCGUGAAAUUUGUGCAUAGAACAUAAAGGAAUACAAAAACAUAACUUCAUUCUCUUUCUGUUUGUUUUUUUUUUUUAGAUUUGUCCGUGCUUUCUUGGUGGAUUGCCAUUUGAUGUGGUUUUUAAGGUUCAAGGUUCCUUUUAAGGUUCUUUGUCUCUAAGCAAAGGGACACAGGGUUUUAGUUUUAGACCUUGGAUUUUUUUUCUCAUUUCUAUUAAGAGAUAGUGAUCUGGGUCUCUCCAUGCAGGUCCAUUUUUGGAUUUCCCAGUGUAAUACCACCCUAUGUAAGCCUACUCUUGGUCAGUGUAUGACAGUACAUACUUUGAGGUGACUACAUAAGUCAUGGGCCAAAGGCAUUUUGAAAACUGCUGCAAGGUGACUGACAGUGAUUGAUUUACUGUUCAAUGGUGUUAAAUAGAUUCUCUCUUUUUAGCUGACAGUUUCUUACAGUUAUUGAGAAAGCAGCUGAACUGCUUUUCCUCAUUCUUCUUGAUAUCACUUUAUUUAAACUGCAUAAAUGGUUUGUGUUUCUGAAAUUCUGUGAUGUCUUGUGUCCACUGCAGGUCUAAAGAUAGGUCUUACUUUCUGCCCACAUUCAUCAUUAUGCUGAAGGUUUAUAAACCUAAUUUCAUUUGUGUUUUGCACUAUAGCAGCCUAUUUUCUGCCUAGGCAUUUCCUCAUAUACUAUAGCAUAUAGAAAUUUUAUCUGCAUCCCCAUUCUGACUAAGCUGUCUUGGUGGCCUGUUUAAUUUUCAGAGAUGUAUGUCCCAGUGUAAAUCCCAAUUUGCAGUUGGAAUUAAUUGUAUUUUAAAUUUUCAUCUUAAAAGAAAUCUUAAAAAAUAGGUAAUAAAAUUCUUUUUGUAGAGAUCACUUUGCCUUCCUUAAUAUAAUAACAGGGAAAAGAAAGGAAGUAUGAAUUUGAACCUGUAACUCUUACACUUUUGGUUUACAUCUCUUGCUGUACAGCCCUGAUUCUUCCAUGGAGUACCAUGCUUCUCAGCAUUUUUGUUUUCCUUUUGUGAUCUCUUUUCAUCCCUGAGAUACAAGAGCUUCUGACACAAUCACCUUUAUCAGUUCUGUGAUCAUUCCCUGGCCCACUGGGCAUUUUGCAGUGCUGCACUCUGACCGCUUUGGUUCUAUGUUAUAGAAAAUCACGUGUGAAAUGAAUUUGUUAAAUUUGAGAAUCCAGCUUACAUGUCCUAUUUUCUGCAGUUCCCAGUACCUCCAUUUUCUGAUAAAAUAACCUUUCAUUUCAUUAUCUCUGUGCUUGUAACUUUUGUAAGGAAAAUAGACAUGUAGACUAUUGGAUUAACCAUCAUAUGUCAUUAAAACAUUUCAGGAAAGAAAACAUUUAGUAAAAACUGGUCCAAGAUGCAGAGGUAGGUUUAGAUUCAAAUGUAAUAAUCACACUGAUUUUCUCUUGUUUCCACAUCAUUCCUCUUUUACAGUGUCAUGCUGAACAUGGUACCAACUGGGGUAUCAAUGGUAUUAAUUUCUUGCCCUCUAUUACCCACUGUUUCCCUGUGGUCGCUUUUCAUCACCUUCAUUGUUUGGUAACUUCACCCAGUACCAAGUUUCCUAAUAUUACAUAUCUUGGUUUCUGUGUAAGCUUCAUAAUGCUCAGACUUUCCUUAUUUUUCGUGAAAUAGUUGGAGACUACACCAAGAACAUCACACACUGAAAAAUUUACUGGUUUCAUUUGUCUGGAACAUUUUUCUCCCUGAUCUCUUUAUGAUCUUCACAAAUAUUUGCAAAGGUAAAGCAUGAAAUCCAAUGAAAGGGUUGGAGAGGAUAUGAAAAGAGAAAAUUUGUCAGUUUAAAGCCUCACAUUCAACAAUAUGCUGUAAACCGUCUGCACCAUGUUUAAAUUGAAAGCUAAGGAGCAAACAUUCAGAACAUACAGAUGAUAAAAAACAAAACAGACUAUAAACAGGAGACAGCUGGAGACAGCAAUUCUGAAGGUAUAAUCUUCCUUUAGUAUAUCUAAAACAGAGCAAUCAUUUCACUUUCUUGACAUUAGCAAAGCGUAACUCUGAUUCACUGAAAACUCAGACUUUGUUCUGAUUCUCUGUAUGUAGGUUUAAGUCCUUAGUGACACUGUUAACUAUUGAGUGCAUUAAAAAUCAAAUAGUUAUUCUGCAUGUGUUGUCACAGGGUACUGAAGAUAAACAUCUCUGACCUAUAAAAACGGAAAAGAACAAGGAAUGUUAUAUGCAUAACAGCAGGAAUAAUUAGUUAGAAAUGUCAUAAAACUAGAGCAUCCUUGUCAAACAUAGGGGAAAAAAUCCUCCCAACUUGGCAUUAUCUCAUGUAUUCCUGCUAUUCUGAACAUAUUUGUAUGCAUCUAAACUUCUCUGAGUUGCACAGCUAUCCUGAUGUAUUGGAUCAUAUGUAUGUUUAAAUGGGUCUAUGUGAACCCAAAAAUCCAGUUAGAAAAGAGUUGGAAAAAAGACAAUGAGAUGACCCAUUUUAGGGAGAAUUGUGCCAGAAUCUCCACACUGCAAAAAACACCCAUGAUGGUUCAGCAACAUUGCAAAAGGCAUGGUAACUCAGGCCUAAAUCUAAGGCAGCAGAGGCAGCAGCAGGAGGCAUACUUGCUGAAUAUGAAGAGUGGAUUCUAUUUCCAUGAAUAUGAAAAUAGAGAGGAAACAUGAAAGAAAAAGCUGUGGGGUAUGCAAGUGGUAUAAGGCAAUUUACUUAUUAAAAUGAGAGACUGAUCUUUCAGUAUGUGUGAGAAAUAAUCUUAUCAGGAUAUAAUUUUACUAAAGUGUAAAGCAUUAAGCUUUUAAUCAUCACUGCAAUUUAAAUCUACCAGAAAAUCUUAUUUUAAAGAAUCCCAAAUGAGUGCACUUUUCUUACUGUAUGUAUACUAAAGAAUGGACAUUUAUGCUUCUGUCCUGCCUUGCUAUAAUUCUUCCAUAACCUGAAAAACAAAAAACACUUAAACCCAACAGUUCAGUGGUCAAUUGCUAAAAAAUAAAUAGAUACUCUUGCGAUAAUUUUACAGCUACAAAAAAUGACAGGAUACCACCCAGUGCUUACAGGAACCUGGGGCAAUCUGUAAACUUGUAGCUAUAUACAGAAUUUCUCCAGCUCCAUCUCUCACUGAAGAACAACCCAUAAUUCCAAUUACAAGGCCACUUGAGGAUUCUUCAAGUGCGAUUGUUUUGAAAACUAUACUUCACAGCCCUUGAUUGCUAAGGAGUGAAGUUACAUAUGCAAAAAAAGCUUACUGAUUUCUGAUUUACUUUGAAAAGUCACCUUUUUUGCCUAAACAUUAGAGCCAAGAACCACCCAAGACUUCUGCAGGAAACUGACAGAAGGAAUACAGGGAAUAGUUGUGGCCAGGAGGGGGUCAGUCCCUUCUCCCACGUAACCAGUGAUAAGACAAAAGACUAGAGCUUUAAGCUGCACCAGAAAAGGUUCAGGCUCGAUAGCAUGAUGAGUUACUUCAUGGAAAGAAUUGCUAAGCAUCAGAAUAGACUGCACAGGGAGAUGGUGGAGUAUCAUCCCUGAAUAUGUUCAAGAAAUGACUGGGUAUGGCACUCAGGACCGUGGUCUAGUUGACACAGUGCUAAUCAGUCAAAGGUGAACUCAAUGAUGUCAGGGCUUUUUUCCAACUUAAAUGAUUCUGUAAUUUAAAUAUAUUUGAAACCUUUCUCCAUUGGGUUUUACCAAUGGAGCAAGUAUAACGUACUUAGAGGUCUGUGAUGUCUUCGAUUUUACUUACAAUACAUUCAUUUUUUCCAAAAUAUUUCAAAUAUUAAGUAUCAGUUGUAAUAUAGCCUCCAGGUCAUAAUAUCCUUAAUUACCUUCAAUAUUUGAAGAAAUUCCAUUCAUUUAGGGUGUAUGUAUGUGAUAUAUAUACAUAUAUAUAUAUAUAUUUAAUCAAAAUAUUAAUAAUUAUGUAAAUUAAAAAUAAAAGAAAGCCUCCUUGUUUUAGGAUUAGAUUUAUUUUAAAUGUUUGAAAAACAAUAAAAGAUAAAGCCUGUUUUCAGACCAACAGAAAUAUUAAAAAUUGGGCAAUAUCCCAGAUAAUGUAGCGUUUUUUCUGUGACGUAUUAAAAUAUCAUUGAUGAAGCUGUUUAGAAUUUGGCCUAAAGUCCAAUAAGCAUAAGCAAAUCAUAAAUAUAGUAAAUUUUAUUUAAAAUAUUGAUACUGAUGCAGUUACAGUCUGUGUCUUGAACUAAUAGUUCUUUAGUUUUGGAUGUUUUGUCUUCUGGGGCAUUUUGGGUGCUUGAAGUUAUGUCUGAGGCAAGAUUUUAGAACUCUCAUAUUGUAACCUGAGCUCUUUCACAUCUCUGUGAUGCAAUCAGGGUUAUCAAGAAAUUUAAUUUUCCUCUCCUUUGUUGCAGAUGAGCAGGUAAAAUUGAUUAAUACUAUUAUGUUAGGUACUUUUAUUUAAUUACUAUGUGACAUAGCUAUUGUGUUUUGAAGAGAUUUUGGAAUUAAGAAUUUGGAAUUAAGUGAUGAGGGAAUAAAAUCAAUUAAGACUAAGGCAACAAAAAAACCCCCAAAAAUUAAAAAAAACCCUAACACACAAACAUUUUCUUAGCUCUUUAAAAGCAGAAACAAUAUAAGUUGUCUCUAAAUAAUUCACAUUAUGGUGCCAGGCCAGCUUCUCAGAAAGCAACAUUUCCAUUUCCAGGUUUCCCCAAAUGUUUCAUUAAAAUUCAAAGGCUGUGCUAGAAGAUAAACUACUUUCAGGUACAGAGGUUUGGUGGCUGGGUUUGUUUUUUUUUUUAGUUUUAAACAGGUUACCUUCUUCCUUUAUCUUUUUCAGCAGUUGGCGCUGAUAAAUGACACAAUUUUUUAAAACUGCUGAAUUUCAAAAUUCAGAUCACUAAAUAAAAGCUGGUGAGAUGUGACAGUGGCACAUUCUGUUCUCCCAUGGCCUUUCCUCUACUGUUUUGCCCCCUCUCCUGCUCAGUCUGUGGCCCUUCAUUGCAGAGUCUAAUUUUCCUGGAGAUGAAGAGAUAAUAGACGGUCUGAAAAAUAAGACAUCAUGUAAUAAUGGCCUGCUCUACAGAAGUAGUCCAUUCUAAUUUCAUGGUUGUUGCAUUAUCCCAAAUGUUUUCUCACAAGACAUUACAGCAGAAUCACAAUAAUUCCACCACUGGUAUGUCCAUGAAGCAAAAUUAGCUUUAAAAGUGUUGUUCUUUGAAGCACUUUCUUUCCCUAGGUUGUAUAAAGCAUAAAUUUAUAAUGAUUGACUCUCCCAUUUUGCUCCCUUUUUCAGAUAGAAAUGCAUUUUUAUUCUACGGAUGUAUGUAUGCUCAAAGCUAAAUCUAAAGGCUUUUGUUUCAGCAUAUGGAAAGGACCUGAGACCAAAUGCACAGUAUAUUCAAUGGCAAAUCAUUUUGAACCAGUAACAUUGAAAAGAGAGGGAUAUUCAUAAAAGAAAGCAAAAAAUAAUGAUAGUUUUUAGUAAAUUAUUCUCAUAAGAUCUAUUAAAUGUGUUUUAUUUCUUUGUUUUUUUCAAGAAUCCUGUCACAAAUGGUUUAUAAAGCCUUUUGUUUAAGUAAUGUAGCUAAAAUUUUGAUUAUCCUUAAUAAAAAAAAAUCUGAAACUUAUAAAAUCAUCCUUGCAUAUUUUAAUUAUGUGCAAAACUUUGUAUCCGUCCUUAAAAACACAUGUAUUCCUACUACUGAUACAGGCCUAGGAAACUUUGUCGUAAAAUUUUUUUAAGAUAAUUUUUGACAUUUGCAGUAUCAUGGUGGAUGUUUUGUAUUUUAACAGAGCUCUCAAAUGAAAAGCUCUUUUGAUAGUGAAU